AACGAACGCUGGCGGCAUGCCUAACACAUGCAAGUCGAACGAGACCUUCGGGGCUAGUGGCGCACGGGUGCGUAACGCGUGGGAACCUGCCCUUAGGUUCGGAAUAACCCCCCGAAAGGGGUGCUAAUACCGGUUAAUUUCUUCGGACCAAAGAUUUAUCGCCUUUGGAUGGGCCCGCGUUGGAUUAGCUAGGUGGUAGGGUAAAAGCCUACCAAGGCGACGAUCCAUAGCUGGUUUGAGAGGAUGAUCAGCCACACUGGGACUGAGACACGGCCCAGACUCCUACGGGAGGCAGCAGUGGGGAAUAUUGGACAAUGGGCGAAAUCCUGAUCCAGCAAUGCCGCGUGAGUGAUGAAGGCCUUAGGGUUGUAAAGCUCUUUUACCCGGGAUGAUAAUGACAGUACCGGGAGAAUAAGCCCCGGCUAACUCCGUG
RNAcentral lists this ribosomal RNA (433 nucleotides) under uncultured bacterium. RNAcentral describes it as "partial 16S ribosomal RNA". It matches the Rfam family "Bacterial small subunit ribosomal RNA", at positions 29 to 507 of the family's 1533-position model. The record is from RNAcentral.